This is a long non-coding RNA of Anolis carolinensis (green anole), 220 nucleotides long. It matches the Rfam family "HOX antisense intergenic RNA myeloid 1 conserved region 2". The record is from Rfam. Lineage: Eukaryota; Metazoa; Chordata; Lepidosauria; Squamata; Anolidae.
GCACCUGAAGCCUAGCCAAGCUGUUGUUUUAACAGCGCAAUAAAAAUGAAUUAUGACUAACCGCCUCCUCGCUUAAUGGUUUUAGACGGGGAUCCCCAGGCCGAGCAAAUACGUAAGGAGAUUUUUAUUUGUGCAUGUGUUCCUGCCAUUGAUUUCUUCGAUGACAUUCUCAUUCACAGAAAGCGGGUGAUUUAUGGGUUUAGGAAGAAUUGCAUCCAAC